Molecule: ribosomal RNA, 468 nt
Filed under: uncultured bacterium
Lineage: Bacteria
Description: partial 16S ribosomal RNA
Rfam family: Bacterial small subunit ribosomal RNA
Source: RNAcentral
GAUGAACGCUGGCGGCGUGCUUCACACAUGCAAGUCGAACGGAAAGGCCGAAGCUUGCUUCGGUACUCGAGUGGCGAACGGGUGAGUAACACGUGGGUGAUCUGCCCUGUACUUCGGGAUAAGCUUGGGAAACUGGGUCUAAUACCGGAUAUGACGAUCUCUUGGAUGGGGUUGUGGAAAGCUUUUGCGGUAUGGGAUGAGCUCGCGGCCUAUCAGCUUGUUGGUGGGGUAAUGGCCUACCAAGGCGUCGACGGGUAGCCGGCCUGAGAGGGUGUACGGCCACAUUGGGACUGAGAUACGGCCCAGACUCCUACGGGAGGCAGCAGUGGGGAAUAUUGCACAAUGGGCGCAAGCCUGAUGCAGCGACGCCGCGUGGGGGAUGACGGCCUUCGGGUUGUAAACUCCUUUCGCAAUCGACGAAGCCUUUUGGUGACGGUAGGUGGAGAAGAAGCACCGGCUAACUACGUG